AUGCCUAGGACAAAGGAGGGAAUCAACUCCAGCUCCUGCAAGGUGGGGCUGAGGCCCAGUGGAAGCCAUGGCCAGUCUGACCCCUCAAGGCCUCUCAAGCACAACGGACCCUUUUCCCUCAGCUGUCCAUGGUCUGGGUCUUGGCCUGUUUUGGGGUCUCCAACAGCCCCAGGACCUCACUGGAUGCUUCCCACCAGAGUUGGCUUCCACCUAGGUCUCCAUCCCUCCUUCUCCCUAGGUCCCCUAGCUGGGUCCUCUGACCCUCACACCAUAUUUCAUACUAGUUUUGCUUCUGGUUCAUUUUUGUCCUGCGCUGUGGACCUCUGGUUCUGGAGAGGGACUCGGUGUGGGCUCAGGAAAGAGAUGAAUGGAUCGGGCCCCUGCCAUGGAAACAGGCAUAAAAAGAGCUGGCCUCCUCCCUCCAGAAACUAGCAACCCUGGGCCCUUAAGAAGUGGAAUCCCAAGUAAAGAUUGAUAGCCUUACAGGGACACUGGACUUUCCUUAUAUCCGUUGUGGACAAUCCUUGAAAACAACCAUGUGACUACUCAAUCUGGAUGAUCAUAGCUAAUUUACUUGGGUAUCCCUGAACAACAGCCCUGGACCUUUCUUGCUAACUAAAUCACUGAGAUAUUUGUGGCUCAUUACUUAAACUUUCCUGGGUUAACUUUUUUGCUCGAACAUUUAGGCAUUCCAGGAUGAUAUUUGACUUUGCCCCAUGAUCUUUUGCCCUGGUAGCUGACUACAUCAAUUUUUCACUCUUAAGACCUUGGGUUUUCCUGACCAAGGGCAUCAGACAUCCCCUCCCUCCUCCCACUCUGGCUUUUUCUCUGGGACUUCCAGGAAGAAAACAGGAAUGUUUCUAUGAUUCCACCAUUAUAUAGAAUAUUAACAGAUAGUUUACUUAUAUAUUCUAUUUCAAGAAGUCUAAGAAUUUUUGAAAGUUACGAAUGGAUAUUAGUUUUUAUCAGGUGAUGAUGAUACUAAAAUUUAUUAAACUGCCUUCCUAUAGUCCAACACCUAUUUUUUAAAAAAGCACUUAUGGUAUUGAGUUUCAAUAUAUUAUUUUAACUGCCUUUAAAUUUUCUAAUUGUGGUAAAAUACACAUAACAUAAAUAUUAUCAUCUUAACCAUUAUUAAAUAUUCAGUUCAAUAGUAUCCAGUACAUUCACACUGUUGUGCAGUCUCUAGAAUUUUUAUCUCGCUAAACUGAAACUGUACACUUUAAACAACAAUUCCCCAUUCUACACUUCCCUAGCCCCUGACAGCCACCAUUUCCCUUCUUCUCUGAACUUAACUACUCAGGGUGCCUCAUGUUAGUAGAAUCAUACAGUAUUUGAUCUUUUAUGUCUGGCUUAUUUCACUUAGCAUCAUGCCCUCAAGGUUCUUCCGUGCUGUGGCAUAUGUCAGAAUUUCCUUCUUAAGACUGAGUAAUAUCCCAUUGGGGUGUGUGUGUGUGUGUGUGUGUGUGUGUGUGUGUGUGUAUCACAUUUUUAAAAUCCAUUCAUCUGUUGAUGGACACUUGAGUUGCUUCCACCUUUGGCUAUCAUGAACAGUGCUGCUAUGAAUACAGGUAGACAAAUAUCUCUCAGAUCACAUUCCUAAUUGUUUCAAGAAUAUACCCUAAAGUGGAAUUGCUGGAUCAUAGAGUAAUUUUAUUUUUAACUUUUUGAGCAAUUGCUAUACUAUAUUAUUUUCCAUAGCAGCUGCACCAAUUUGCAUAUUCUACCUAUUUUAAAGUUUAAAAACUGAGGUUCAGAAAGAUUAAGUCACUUGCUACUACAGCUAAAAUGUGGUAGAGAAAACUUUAAGUUAUGUCUGUUGUAUUAAUUUCCUAAGGUUGCCAUAACAAAGUACCACAAACUGGGUGGCUUAAAAUGGCAGAAAUUUAUUCUGUCACUAUUCUGCAGGUCAGAUGUCUGACAUCAAUGGUCAGAAGACAUUCAUUGGCACCUGAGUGGCUCAGUUGGGUAAGCGUCUGCUUUUGGCUCAGGUCAUGAUUCCAGAGUCCUGGGAUCGAGCCCCACAUUGGGUUCUCUGUUCAGUGGGGGAAGUCUGUUUCUCCCUCUGCCCCUCCAUUCCCAAUCAAGCGUUCUCUCUCUCUCUCUCUCUCUCUCUCUCUCAGAUAAAUAAAUAUUUUAAAAAAGAAAAGACGCUCA
This 2157-nucleotide long non-coding RNA is filed under the name Vulpes vulpes (red fox). RNAcentral's name for it is "lncRNA (ENSVVUG00000029262.1)". The record is from RNAcentral. Lineage: Eukaryota; Metazoa; Chordata; Mammalia; Carnivora; Canidae.